RNAcentral lists this ribosomal RNA (505 nucleotides) under uncultured Desulfobulbus sp. RNAcentral's name for it is "bacterial SSU rRNA". It matches the Rfam family "Bacterial small subunit ribosomal RNA", at positions 903 to 1382 of the family's 1533-position model. The record is from RNAcentral. Lineage: Bacteria; Pseudomonadati; Thermodesulfobacteriota; Desulfobulbia; Desulfobulbales; Desulfobulbaceae.
GCCACGCCCGCUCAAGAACUCAAAGGAAUUGACGGGGCCGCACAAGCGGUGGAGUAUGUGGUUUAAUUCGAUGCAACGCGAAGAACCUUACCUGGUCUUGACAUCCCGGAGACCCUUAGGAAACUAGGGGGUGCUUCCAUCUGGAAGAAUCUGGAGACAGGUGCUGCAUGGCUGUCGUCAGCUCGUGUCGUGAGAUGUUGGGUUAAGUCCCGCAACGAGCGCAACCCUUGCCUUUAGUUGCCAGCAGUUCGGCUGGGCACUCUAAAGGGACUGCCGGUGUUAAACCGGAGGAAGGUGGGGAUGACGUCAAGUCCUCAUGGCCUUUAUGACCAGGGCUACACACGUACUACAAUGGCCGAUACAAAGGGCAGCGACACUGCGAGGUGAAGCCAAUCCCGUAAAAUCGGUCUCAGUCCGGAUUGGAGUCUGCAACUCGACUCCAUGAAGUUGGAAUCGCUAGUAAUCGCGCAUCAGCCAUGGCGCGGUGAAUACGUUCCCGGGCCUU